This is a long non-coding RNA of Ylistrum balloti, 698 nucleotides long. RefSeq lists it as uncharacterized. The record is from RefSeq and is a predicted model, not a curated record. Lineage: Eukaryota; Metazoa; Mollusca; Bivalvia; Pectinida; Pectinidae. The transcript is spliced from 3 exons.
UAGGAAGGAGCCCAUCGAGAGACAAAUUGACAAGGAAAAGUAUGGCACGCAAGAGGUUAGCGAAAUAUACAGUGGUCUUGCUCGAGAGCUUAGCAGGAACUGGUCAUCAACGGGUAUUGGUGAGAAUGAGGGAAGCUGAAAAAGUAGAACGAAUCAUGAAAGAUCCCAUCGUUGGACAAGAUGUCUUAUAUAAAGAAAUAAAGAAAAUCCGCAGUGUGAAGGUACCACGAAGAAUAUGAUCUUGACAACAUUUAACAUUGAGAUGAGAGAAUGGUGUAAUGGAUGAAAGAUACAUUAUUGCAGGCAAUUGAGGACCCGAAACGUCGAAGAAGUGCUGUGUGAAUUUUAAAGAAUGUGCAGUGUCUUUACUAGUAUUAUGAAUUGGUCAGCCUUGAAAAAUCCUCCAUUUUAUCUGAUGUUGACAGAGACUUUGCCUAAAUUUAAAAGUACAAGGUAGUAAUUUGUAAAACAGUUGACCAAUUUAUAUGAACUUGUAGUGGCAAAUGUAUCAUCUGAGAGGCAUUUUUCGAGGUGUUGUGUGUCAAUUGUGAAUAUUAUUCUGAAAAGGUGCACAUUAGUGAUAUUUCUGCCCUAUGGUUAAAUUGUACAUUUCCUUCGUAGGCUGUGUUUGUUGUGUUGGGUCAGAAUCGUUUUUGAUGUUUGGUAUCACAAGAAGUAAUAAACAUAUAUAAGAAUAA